Molecule: ribosomal RNA, 815 nt
Filed under: uncultured bacterium
Lineage: Bacteria
Description: bacterial SSU rRNA
Rfam family: Bacterial small subunit ribosomal RNA
Source: RNAcentral
AGAGUUUGAUCCUGGCUCAGAGCGAACGCUGGCGGCAGGCUUAACACAUGCAAGCCGAGCGGGCGUAGCAAUACGUCAGCGGCAGACGGGUGAGUAACGCGUGGGAACGUACCUUUUGGUUCGGAACAACCCAGGGAAACUUGGGCUAAUACCGAAUAAGCCCUUACGGGGAAAGAUUUAUCGCCGAAAGAUCGGCCCGCGUCUGAUUAGCUAGUUGGUGAGGUAAUGGCUCACCAAGGCGACGAUCAGUAGCUGGUCUGAGAGGAUGAUCAGCCACAUUGGGACUGAGACACGGCCCAAACUCCUACGGGAGGCAGCAGUGGGGAAUAUUGGACAAUGGGGGCAACCCUGAUCCAGCCAUGCCGCGUGAGUGAUGAAGGCCCUAGGGUUGUAAAGCUCUUUUGUGCGGGAAGAUAAUGACGGUACCGCAAGAAUAAGCCCCGGCUAACUUCGUGCCAGCAGCCGCGGUAAUACGAAGGGGGCUAGCGUUGCUCGGAAUCACUGGGCGUAAAGGGUGCGUAGGCGGGUUUUUAAGUCAGGGGUGAAAUCCUGGAGCUCAACUCCAGAACUGCCUUUGAUACUGAAGAUCUUGAGUCCGGGAGAGGUGAGUGGAACUGCGAGUGUAGAGGUGAAAUUCGUAGAUAUUCGCAAGAACACCAGUGGCGAAGGCGGCUCACUGGCCCGGUACUGACGCUGAGGCACGAAAGCGUGGGGAGCAAACAGGAUUAGAUACCCUGGUAGUCCACGCCGUAAACUAUGAGUGCUAGCCGUCGGACAGCUUGCUGUUCGGUGGCGCACCUAACGGAUUAAGCAUU